AACGUAGGUACCGAGCGUUAUCCGGAUUUACUGGGCGUAAAGCGCGUUCAGGCGGUUUGGCAAGUCGGGCAUGAAAUCUCUCGGCUCAACCGGGAGAGGUUGUCCGAUACUGCUGGACUUGAGGGCAGUAGAGGGUGGUGGAAUUCCUGGUGUAGCGGUGGAAUGCGCAGAUAUCAGGAGGAACACCGAUGGCGAAGGCAGGUCUCUGGGCCACUACUGACGCUGAGAAGCGAAAGCAUGGGGAGCGAACAGG
Molecule: ribosomal RNA, 253 nt
Filed under: uncultured bacterium
Lineage: Bacteria
Description: partial 16S ribosomal RNA
Rfam family: Bacterial small subunit ribosomal RNA
Source: RNAcentral